Molecule: ribosomal RNA, 253 nt
Filed under: uncultured bacterium
Lineage: Bacteria
Description: partial 16S ribosomal RNA
Rfam family: Bacterial small subunit ribosomal RNA
Source: RNAcentral
UACGGGGGGGGCAAGCGUUGUUCGGAAUUACUGGGCGUAAAGGGCUCGUAGGCGGCCAACUAAGUCAGACGUGAAAUCCCUCGGCUUAACCGGGGAACUGCGUCUGAUACUGGAUGGCUUGAGUUUGGGAGAGGGAUGCGGAAUUCCAGGUGUAGCGGUGAAAUGCGUAGAUAUCUGGAGGAACACCGGUGGCGAAGGCGGCAUCCUGGACCAUUACUGACACUGAGAAGCGAAAGCCAGGGGAGCAAACGGG